GAUGAACGCUAGCGGCAGGCUUAAUACAUGCAAGUCGAGGGGCAGCGCAGUGUGGCCCUACCCGGGCGGCGACCGGCAAACGGGUGCGGAACACGUACGUAACCUACCCAUAACUGAUGAAUAGCCCCCCGAAAGGAGGAUUAAUACAUCGUAACUUAAUGAACCGGCAUCGCUUUAUUAAUAUAGCUCCUUCGGUGUUGGAUGGGCGUGCGUCCGAGUAGGUUGUUGGCGGGGUUACGGCCCACGAAGCCUGGGAUCAGGAACUGGAGUGAGAGCACGACCAGUGACACGGGGACAGAGACACGGGCCCGACUCGUACGGGAGGCAGCAGUAAGGAAUAGUGGUGAACGGACGCAAGUCUGAACCAGCCAGGGCGCGUGAAGGAUGUAGGUCCUCUGGAUUGCAAUCUUCUUUUGAAAGGGACGAAACCUAUUUAUCUUGAGAGACUGACGGUACCAGUAGAAUAAGCACCGGCUAACUCCGUG
Molecule: ribosomal RNA, 485 nt
Filed under: uncultured bacterium
Lineage: Bacteria
Description: partial 16S ribosomal RNA
Rfam family: Bacterial small subunit ribosomal RNA
Source: RNAcentral